Molecule: ribosomal RNA, 253 nt
Filed under: uncultured bacterium
Lineage: Bacteria
Description: partial 16S ribosomal RNA
Rfam family: Bacterial small subunit ribosomal RNA
Source: RNAcentral
UACGUAGGCAGCGAGCGUUGUUCGGAGUUACUGGGCGUAAAGAGUGCGUAGGCGGUGGCCCAAGUCUGGUGUGAAAUCUCCCGGCUCAACCGGGAGGGUGCGCCGGAAACUGGGUUGCUUGAGUACUGGAGAGGCAAGCGGAAUUCCUGGUGUAGCGGUGAAAUGCGUAGAUAUCAAGAGGAACACCUGCGGCGAAGGCGGGUUGCUGGGCCGACACUGACGCUGAGGCGCGAAAGCUAGGGGAGCGAACGGG